UACGAAGGUGGCUAGCGUUACUCGGAAUUACUGGGCGUAAAGCGCGUGUAGGCGGUGCGAUUAGUCAGGUGUGAAAUCCCAAGGCUUAACUUUGGAACUGCACUUGAAACUGUCGUGCUAGAAUUUGGUAGAGGAUAGUGGAAUUCCUAGUGUAGAGGUGAAAUUCGUAGAUAUUAGGAGGAACACCAGUGGCGAAAGCGGCUAUCUGGGCCAAUAUUGACGCUAAGACGCGAAAGCGUGGGGAUCAAACAGG
RNAcentral lists this ribosomal RNA (253 nucleotides) under uncultured bacterium. RNAcentral describes it as "partial 16S ribosomal RNA". It matches the Rfam family "Bacterial small subunit ribosomal RNA", at positions 524 to 776 of the family's 1533-position model. The record is from RNAcentral.